This 809-nucleotide long non-coding RNA is filed under the name Sparus aurata (gilthead seabream). Its description in RNAcentral is "lncRNA (ENSSAUG00010007891.1)". Lineage: Eukaryota; Metazoa; Chordata; Actinopteri; Spariformes; Sparidae. The record is from RNAcentral.
UCAUAUUAUAUAAGGUCAUCACAUGUGUGUAGUGUGGCUGUCAGAACGUAAUCUGAGUUGUCUCUUCAUCUGGCAUUUUGUUUCACAUUUACCUGCUGCUCACCUCUCUCCUCUACCUGUACACACAUUUUAAUAAUGCCAGCAGAGUGCAAAUGCGGCACACACACACAUAAAUCCCAGGUGUGUGUGUGUGUGUGCUGAAGUGCCUCCCAGGCCUCUGCAGUGUGCUGCAGGGUGGAGGCAGAGCAGUAACCAUGGUGCAGAAAGAGUAAACAGGAAACUUGACACACACACACACACAGUACAAGAAAUAUGAUCCACCUUGUUAUGGAGACGUAAACUGGAAACGAGUGAAAACUAGAAAACAGAAAUGGAAUAACUGCACGUGGAAUCCUGAUCACAUCACCUGCAUCAUGGCUCAGAAAAACACAUCUGGAGCGAAUCCCAUCCCCAGACUGGUUGUCAAGAUCGUAGGCAGCAAACAGGUCAAGCAGUUUAUCGAGGAGCCCCGAGAAGAAUCUGGAGACGUGUCAAAGAAAGAAGAGAGUCGUCCAGUUGAAGCUGCAUAUGAUGGUGAUUUCAAGAAACCUCCAGAAAAACAGGAUGUGAUGGUGUCCAGCUCUGACAGGAAGGUGGAGAACAGAGUGGACUCUGCACUUUGGGCUGUCAUACAGCAGGUUCCUGACAGACGGUGUGUGACAGCGCCCUCUGGUGAUCGCUCCAGGUCCUACAUCCACCCAAAGACUCGUCACAGCUGUGAACCGAGAGCAGCUGCAGUUCUGGAGAUAUCAGAGGAGGUUCUUCUGUGA